This 301-nucleotide ribosomal RNA is filed under the name uncultured bacterium. Its description in RNAcentral is "partial 16S ribosomal RNA". It matches the Rfam family "Bacterial small subunit ribosomal RNA", at positions 509 to 807 of the family's 1533-position model. The record is from RNAcentral.
CAGCAGCCACGGGAAUACGGAGGGUGCAAGCGUUAUCCGGAUUUAUUGGGUUUAAAGGGUCCGUAGGCGGACUUAUAAGUCAGUGGUGAAAGCCUGUCGCUUAACGAUAGAACUGCCAUUGAUACUGUAAGUCUUGAGUAUAUUUGAGGUAGCUGGAAUAAGUAGUGUAGCGGUGAAAUGCAUAGAUAUUACUUAGAACACCAAUUGCGAAGGCAGGUUACCAAGAUAUAACUGACGCUGAGGGACGAAAGCGUGGGUAGCGAACAGGAUUAGAUACCCCCGUAGUCCCUGUCUCUUAUAC